GCCAGACUCCUACGGGAGGCAGCAGUGAGGAAUAUUGGUCAAUGGGCGCGAGCCUGAACCAGCCAAGUCGCGUGAGGGAGGACGGCCCUACGGGUUGUAAACCUCUUUUGCCGGGGAGCAACGGGCGUCACGUGUGGCGCCACUGAGAGUACCCGGAGAAAAAGCAUCGGCUAACUCCGUGCCAGCAGCCGCGGUAAUACGGAGGAUGCGAGCGUUAUCCGGAUUUAUUGGGUUUAAAGGGUGCGCAGGCGGAGGUGCAAGUCAGUGGUCAAAUUGCGGGGCUCAACCCCGUACUGCCGUUGAAACUGCAUCCCUUGAGUGCGCGAGAAGUAUGCGGAAUGCGUGGUGUAGCGGUGAAAUGCAUAGAUAUCACGCAGAACUCCGAUUGCGAAGGCAGCAUACCGGCGCGCAACUGACGCUCAUGCACGAAAGCGUGGGUAUCGAACAGGAUUAGAUACCCCCGUA
RNAcentral lists this ribosomal RNA (465 nucleotides) under uncultured bacterium. RNAcentral describes it as "bacterial SSU rRNA". It matches the Rfam family "Bacterial small subunit ribosomal RNA", at positions 330 to 792 of the family's 1533-position model. The record is from RNAcentral.